GUGGGGAAUCUUGCGCAAUGGGCGAAAGCCUGACGCAGCCAUGCCGCGUGAAUGAUGAAGGUCUUAGGAUUGUAAAAUUCUUUCACCGGGGACGAUAAUGACGGUACCCGGAGAAGAAGCUCCGGCUAACUUCGUGCCAGCAGACGCGGUAAUACGAAGGGGGCUAGCGUUGCUCGGAAUUACUGGGCGUAAAGGGCGCGUAGGCGGACAGCUUAGUCAGAUGUGAAAGCCUAGGGCUCAACCUUGGAAUUGCCUUUGAUACGGGCUGUCUUGAGUUUGGGAGAGGUGAGUGGAACUCCGAGUGUAGAGGUGAAAUUCGUAGAUAUUCGGAAGAACACCAGUGGCGAAGGCGACUCACUGGCCCAAUACUGACGCUGAGGCGCGAAAGCGUGGGGAGCAAACAGGAUUAGAAACCCUUGUAGUCC
RNAcentral lists this ribosomal RNA (425 nucleotides) under uncultured bacterium. RNAcentral's name for it is "partial 16S ribosomal RNA". It matches the Rfam family "Bacterial small subunit ribosomal RNA", at positions 354 to 796 of the family's 1533-position model. The record is from RNAcentral.